RNAcentral lists this microRNA precursor (171 nucleotides) under Prunus dulcis (almond). RNAcentral describes it as "sRNA ncRNA". The record is from RNAcentral. Lineage: Eukaryota; Viridiplantae; Streptophyta; Magnoliopsida; Rosales; Rosaceae.
GUGAGAAUGAGAAUAAGUAUGAGAUUGAGGGAGAGGAUGAGAGGGAGGAGUAACAAACAUGAAAACAAAAACGUGAAAGUGAAAGCAAUUUCAAAUAGAUUUUUGGUUUUUUGUUACUCCUCCCUCUCAAUCUCAUCUUCACUCUCAUUCUCCCUUUUUUCCCUUUGUACU